Long non-coding RNA from Symphalangus syndactylus (siamang), 4265 nucleotides. RefSeq lists it as uncharacterized. NCBI's taxonomy places the organism in Eukaryota, Metazoa, Chordata, Mammalia, Primates, Hylobatidae. The record is from RefSeq and is a predicted model, not a curated record.
UCAGUUUAUAGUAGAAAAUUCAUCUUCAGUUUUUGAAAAUCUUGUAGAAAACAUGAGGAUGAAUUUUAUUACAGGGUCCAAUGCUGUCAUGUGAUCUGAUAAUCGUCCACUAGUGAGUCUGUGGGUGAUGCGUAUCAGGGCAGUAAUGACAUACUUAUCUUAGAGGCAAUUAUUAAGAAGUGACUCACAAAAGUGUUUAGAUUGGCCAUUUUUUAAUAUUUAAAAAAGCUUCCUCUGCCUGGUUAUUGUCGCUCUGUGCACAACACUACUGGUUAUUUAAGAAACAAGACAAAUAAGACUCAGUGAAUGUGCUGAUUCAGGUGCACACAAUCCCCUAUCUCAUUGCUGGUGUUGCUAAAGAGCAUCUGGGGUAAGGAAACAUGCAUCCGGUCCAUCCGUCAAGAGUCCAUGAGAAAGCCAACGAUGUUUUCACCUGCAGGAUGAAUUACAUCUUUGGUGAGUGUGGGAAGCUACAUAAUGAGACAGCUGAGUGGCUAACAUUUCUUUUUUCUUGCUCCUUCUGCACCUUCUUUUUGCACUACCUUCAUUUUUCCCACUUCCUCUCUCCUUUCCCCACCUUUAUACAAUCACCACAAGAUAACGGAGCAAAUGUGGCACAUCCAUCCAAGGAUGGGUUGACAUGGUUUACACAUUGCUUUCAUUUGGUUGUUCUUUGGAUGAAUUCUUCCUUGAGAACAAGAUAAUGAAAACCAUACGGUCAUUGAGCACACAAUCUGCCUUCACUUUGGCUGUUCCCUCGCAGCCCAUUUUAUUUUAUAAGCCUGGUCCCUGAGUUUACGCCAGUAGAAGAUCCCAAGCAGGUGAAGUCCUGCCCCCUGUGGGCUUGCGGAAUUCAGCAAACUCUGUCAAUUUAGCCCUUGCCUGUCACCCAUACAUCAGAGAACUUAUUUGAAUGGAACAUCUCUUGCUAGUCUGGUAAAGGUUUAGAAACUUGGCCUUCUAAGUAUUCAUGUAAGUUCUGUUCUGGGACCUUCGUUGUAGGAACUGAAAAUAAAAGAACCAAAAUAGGUAUCAACAGAUAAUUAAAAGAACAUUUGGAAGUUUUUUAACCUCAUGCAAACCUCAAACUCUGAACCACUGCCUAAAGGAAAUACUGAGUUAUGGUGAGUGAAGUUAAAUGUGUACUUUAUUUCUUGGAUGAGUUUUGACAAUGUAAAACAAAAUGAUAAGUUUUUAACUAUGGCAGCAAGUUCAGACAACAGGUGUGAGGGAAAAGAAUUAUUCAUUGAUUCAAAUUCCCAUACAAGUGAGUGAAAUGGCUAAAAGCAAUAAAAUUACAGAUGAGGUCUUUGGAAUUUAAACAAAAGAAGUUUAUUUUCACUUUCUAAUUUGUCGCUUGCUCUUAUAGACACCAAAGAAACAUCACAGAAAUAUUAAAUUAUUCUCUGAAAAUACAAAGGUAAAAGCUAUUGCGGUUUAAGACAGAAGAUAUUUUCUUUUAAAAUUGGCUAUGGUACUUCUACACUGAUAGAACUUAUGAAAAUAGCCAAUCUAUUAUGGCUAAUUUAAUUUUCUUUCCCAAAGAUACAUAAUUCAGAAUAAAAACUGUAAUCAAUGCCCAAAACACAAAUCUCAUACAUCUUGCUAAUGCUGGAGAAAAAGUGUCAAGUUCUUUUUCAGUAAAAUAUAUGCAGUACUUGUACUAUGUUUUGUUUUUAAUUCUCGGAAAUCCUUGUUAUUAAUCAAGCAAAACAAGCUUUUUAUAAUAUAGAAUUAUCCUUCCUCUGUAAGAGUAGAAACAAAGUAAUUAAAAGUAAAAUAUGAAAAGUGCUAUAAUUUAGUAAGAGAUGGAAAGAAAUCUAGAAUAAUUUUGUUCAAACUCAUAAUUUUAUGAUUGAAUAAACAAAAAUCCAGAGUGUUUAGGAGUUUGUUCAAAGUUCAAAACCUGGAAUCUAUAAAGUUGGAUAUCAGAAGUCAGCUCUAAAUAUAAGUUCAGUGCUAUUUUAACAAUCAGUAAAAUUUCUAAGAGCAAUAUAUUCCUGAGAUGGAACACAUCAGAAAAGACUAUAGAGAUUCUUUGAAUUUGGAAAGUUCUCACUAGGUAGAAAUUCCAAUAAAUAGAACAGAUUAAAUGGAACUCAUUCAUUUAGGUGGAGUUGGAAACCCCAGGGUCUCAUUUGUUAGCUCCUCUCACCCACUCCUUCUGAGGGCCCUCUGAAUACCUUGUAAAAACUCCAAGAGUUUCUUAGGACACUGUCUUAAAACCACCAAUAAUAUUCCCAGUUGUGGUGAGUAGACUCAAAAGUGGCUCCAAUGACCCUACAAAGUACCACAGACUGGGUGGCUGAAACAACAGACAUUUAUUUUCCGAUAAUUCUGGAGGUUAGAAGUUUGAGAUCAAGGUGUCAGCAGGGUUGGCUUCUGAGACCUCUCUCCUUGGCUUGUGGAUGGCCAUCUUCUCUCUGUGUCUUCACAUGGUCUUCCUUCUGGACUUAUCUGUCUCUUAAUUUCUUCUUAUAAAAGCACCCAUCGUUGCGUUAGGGCCUGCCCUAAUGACCCCAUUUUAACUUAUUAUCUGUUUAAAGACUUUAUGUCUGAGUUUGAUUAAGCUAAUAUAACAAAAUACCUUAGACUGGGUAAUUUAUAAACAUCAGAAACUUAUUGCUCAUAAUUCUAGACACCGGGAAGUCCAAAAUGAAGGCACCAGCAGAGUCAGUGUCUGGUAAGGGCUCACUCUGCUUCAAAGAUGAUGCCUUCUCAAGUGUCCUCACAAGGUGAAAGGGUGAGGCAUCUCUCUGGGGUCUUUUAUCAGGACAGCAAUCUCAUUCACAACAGCAGAGCCCUCGUGACCUAAUCAUCUCCCAAAGGUCCCACCCCCUAAUAUCAUCACCUUGGUGAUUAGGUUUCAAUAUAUGAAUGUUGUGGGUAUGCGAACAUUCAGACGAUAGUACCUUAUCUCCAAAUACAGUCACAUUCUGAGGUACAGUGGGCUUUGCCAUAUAAAUUUGUGGGUUGUGGGGAAGAGGGCAUUAUUCAGCUCCUAACACUCACCUUUCUGUAUUAUCCCAUUGUAUCAUACCCUCCCCUUGGGUGGGAAAUUUGACUUGAUUCUAAUCUAUAGAAUACGGCAAAGGUGAUAGGAGUCACUUCAUGAUUAUGUCACAUGAUAGAAUAACCUGUCUUGUUCUAGAGAUUUUCUGUCUCUCUUAUUGACUUUGAAAAAGUGAAGUGGCCAUGUUAGGAGUCCCAGAUGGUAAGGAGCUGAGGGAGGCCUCCAGGAAAUGGCCAGCAAGAAGCCGGCUCCCUCAGCCUUGUAGCUACAAGAAAAUGAAUUCUGCCAGCAAUCUGAGUGAACUUGGAAGCUGAUUCUUCCUCUGUCAAGCCUCCAGAUGAGAAUCCCAGUCACAGCCAACACCUUGACUGCAGUCCUUAGCAGAGGACUCUGCCAAGCUGUGCCAGGACUCCUGACCUGCAGACAUUGGGAGCUCCUGAAGAGUUAAAAACUCUGACAAGCUAAAGUGGGCUGACCUGGGAAAGAACUUGAAACCAAGUUUAACAAUAGAUUUUGUAUUAUCACCUUUGUAGUUAGUCAUGCUGCUGAAACCCCAAAUGCUCACCCAGAAGAGUUCCUUUGCAACGAAAGUCUAAGUGGGAUUGCACCUUCAACUGGCAUCACUCCACCUUACAGGAUCCUGAAAGCUUUCAAAUCCACCUCAAGCCCAGGCAGUGUCAAAGAAGGAGAGGAAUUGAAGAAGCAAAAAUAAAUAUUAAAGUACAUAAGAAUUAAAUAUUACCUUUUUAAAUAGCAAUUAUGCAGUUGAAAACAAAAUCAUCACACCUGUACAAGAAAAGGCAUGCAAGCCCAAAACAUCUGCUUGGAUCCACCUGCCAGGCACCUGUUUUGCUGUUUCAAUGCCAUUUGAUUGCUGGAGAUGUAGAGGCUCUUGUGAGGUAAUGAGCGAUUUUACAUUAUGCAUGAUUGAAAACAGGUGUUCUAAUGCUGCACAAUUCUAUGCAUGAAUAAUUCAGUUUGUUUAGAGCAAGAUCUUUAAAAGAAGUACUGCAUGGGCUGUAUUAUUUCUAUAAACACGAAGGUUAUUUUUUUUAAUGUAUGACGAUUGUUCCUUUGCAGCCAGCUUGUUUAUGGCAAUUUUUGUGUAAUUUUAUGGAUGAGGAAUAAUAUCCUGAAAGGUAAAAUUGAUCACACUUAAAAUAUGUAAGAAGUAAAAUUGAAAGGUCUGUUAGCAAGAGGAAAACAGUAUUAAAAUUCAAUGUUCUAAAUAAAAAUGCCUGAUUAUUUCCUU